Molecule: long non-coding RNA, 1814 nt
Filed under: Prunus persica (peach)
Lineage: Eukaryota; Viridiplantae; Streptophyta; Magnoliopsida; Rosales; Rosaceae
Description: long non-coding RNA (PPER_LNC005569)
Source: RNAcentral
AGAAUUCAUAUGCACAUUUAUUUGCUUAUAUUGGCUACUUGUAUGGACGCAACUUGAAAAAGCAACAAUAAGAAGCAUAAAAUGACUGCAAGAAGAGAACGAAAGAUCUGCCGACUGUAUUCUUCUUCCAUGCAGUGAGUUCCUUGUGCGUUUUGCUCCUGCAAGAGUACAAAUGCAGCCAUUAGUCCUCCAAAGAUUAGCCUAAAAUUCGACUUAGCAAGUAACACGUGGAUCAGGUCAAUGGAACAACUGUAAUGAAGCAAGUCCAGUAUGCAGUAGGGCCUUCAAUAGACUAGUUUCAAUUCAAUCUAAUUAGGCCUCAACACAAAUGAAGGGGAUUAAGAACCGAAAGCAUUUAACUUCUGAAUAGGAACAUAUCCUCUCUCUUUCAGUUGUCUUUGUAUAAAGUUUUCUUUCAAACAGAAAACAUAUAGCUAGGAAGCUGCACAACGUUCAAAGAGGAAAGGUUAUGAGUUUCACAAUGCAAAUUUUGUUUUGGUUUUCAUUCAAAACCUUGAAGGCCUUUUUAUCUACAUGUGGAUAUGUUUCUUUUUAAGGAAUAUGCGAAUUACGCAUGCUGCUACAAAUUAUAACUCAGCAUCAAUCAAUGGUGAAAAAAAAAAACAUUUUGAAUACUAUCUGCUUAAGUUUGCUUGUGAUGUUGACUGAGGCUAACUUGAAGGGGUUACAAGAUUUUCAGCACUAUAGCUCCACCAUAUCUUCACUAAAACUGAGAAAUGACAUUGCAAUACCCUCUGUAGUGAUAAACAGAUUUAGGGCAACAUUCGUACAAGGAGCAAUACAACACCUCAGAAGUGAACCACCUCAAAAAGAACUUUUCAUCUGUAAUUUGAAGUUCCUGUACCAGGCAAAGGCCCAACAUAGGGUUGAUAUCUUCAUUCCUUCGACUUGACAUGAACUGUCAAAAUUUGAGCACUACAUAUAGGAGAAAUGGCCCUAGGAAUUAGAGCAUAGAUAGUAGUGAGACAGAGAAAGAGGAUUGGAGCAAGAGUUGGGAUUCAGAGCUCAAGUGCAUUCAUAUGGCCUCCGCCAAAAAUUGUGCAAACACACAAGCCUGCAUCUUGGAACCUUAUGGACGCAAGGAAUGUGAGAUUCCAAACUUUGGAAAUUCAGGUUAGGAGUAACUCACCUCACCUACGUACUUUUGGCAGAUAUCAUCACCUUAUAUAAACCUUAUAUAAAGCCUUGAUCUUUCUGGAGCUUGACUAUUAUUAUCAUAACCUAAAGGAAAUGGAAACUAAAGACAUAAGAUAUCUCAUAUCAAACCGACUACAAGAAGGGCAAAUGAUCCUUUUGUUGGUCUAAUUAGCCUAACGUAUAAUCAACAACCAUAACCAUUAUCUUCAUUUUCCUUUAGUUUGAUGCGAUUAUUGUCAUCAAUGGCCUAAAAGGAAUGAAGACCGACUGAAUCCCUCUUGGAAGUCUACUGCAAUAUUGGUACCCAGAAAACCAAAAAUCUUGUCCUUAAUUAAAUCAACAGCAUCUCAAACUUCUCCUCUACAAUUCAUCUUACGAGGAUCAAACAACCACAAAAAAAGAAAGUCACAACUCGAAGAUAAAUAAAAGGUUUACUGUGAGUGAUGAAGAGCAACCAGAAACAAAAAAUUCAACCUUUCCUAUUUGAUUCAUACAAAAACAAUGAAGGCAAUGUUUUUCUUUUUGUUUCUUUUAAGGAAAGAAAAUUACCUCAGAUUGAGUCUACAUAAGUUCCUUGGCAGGCCUUGCUUUUACAUACAGGAAUAUCCUCAAACUGUUUAGCAGGCAGUUUCUCAGACAAAGCUCCAACAUAAAAC